Long non-coding RNA from Bombus impatiens (common eastern bumble bee), 293 nucleotides. RefSeq lists it as uncharacterized. The record is from RefSeq and is a predicted model, not a curated record. NCBI's taxonomy places the organism in Eukaryota, Metazoa, Arthropoda, Insecta, Hymenoptera, Apidae. The transcript has 3 exons.
CUUUUCCUGUUGUUAUAUAACUAUAAUAAUAAUAAUAAUAAUAAUAAUAAAGCACAGAUUCCUGUAUCUGCAAUUUUUUAAGGGGGUGUCCUGAAUUAGAAUGUUCUAAAACAGCGUCUUUUUGUGAUUUUUUUUAGAAAGGAAAGAAAGAAAUGAAGUUAUUGAAUUUUGAGGUAUGGUUUUAUAUAUAUUUAACGAAUACAAAAAAAUUUUUUUUAAAGUAAAAAAGAAAAUUACAACAGAUUUCUAAGCCUAUUUCAUGGGCUGCAGUUUUCAAUUCAAAAAAGUUUGGC